Molecule: long non-coding RNA, 1080 nt
Organism: Sebastes umbrosus (honeycomb rockfish)
Lineage: Eukaryota; Metazoa; Chordata; Actinopteri; Perciformes; Sebastidae
Exons: 3
Source: RefSeq, a predicted model, not a curated record
GAGCGGCGGGUGUGGUUUUCAUUAACUGUGCACUUGGACGUCGGAAUUCAGACAAAGCUGGUAUGAUGACUGUCAGCCAUAAUGCCGGUCAGCGUGAGCCCGGCUGCGGUUGAGCAGAGUGCUGGAAGGCCUGUGCGAUUACCCCUGCCCCCCUGCUGCGAGCACUGCAGCGGUGGAGGGACUGAGAAGGAGAGUGAGAGAACCUUUUGGCGACAGCAACCCUGGGAGAGAUGCAGAAAGCACGUCCCCUGGGGAGAAAAGCUGCCUCAGGCUUCAGAAAGCCUAUUUACAACAAGCUGUGCUUGUUACUUUCAUCAAAAUAGAGCACUGAGCUUUUCUCCUGCCUUGUUUUUUUGUGCUUUUGGCAGGAGGUUGUUAUUGUAAAGCACUGACUCCAUUGUGCUCAGCGGUGCGGUGAAAGUCUAGCUGUCCACUGCCAUGGAGAAGACAAGAGAGGAGAGACAGUUGGACGGAAGACACACCUUUUUUCCCAGAGACCCCGGCAUGUUUUAUAGACUCUGAAGGAGCGUCUCUGGGAGGAGUAGAGAAACCUGCUAUGUCACCGAAUUUCCCCAACCUUUGAUCCUCAACAGUACUCCAUCAAGUUCAAUUAGAGGAUCAGUGGUCUCUGGCGGGCCCGUUUGUCAUAAUCUAUUGGGUAUGGCGCGUUCCAGAUGUUGAAGAAGAGGACAGAAAAUCAAUAAACUGGAUUGGGCUGCCAGGCCCAGAGGGAGGUCUCCUUACCCUGGCUUGCGUGGCUCAGAAUCAACUCUCCUCUAUCAAGCCUCGUUUUUUUCCGCCGUUUGGUCCAUCAAAUUGAAUUUCAUCAAAAGGUCUCAACAAAAAAAGGAAGAUAUAUAGCAUACGGCUUUUGUAUUCCGGAGACUCUCAAUUUGCCCUCCAGACAAAUAUGCAAUCAAAUAUAGUCAGGAAGGGCUGCUGUUUGCUUUAGAUUUUAUAAAAAGCAAACACCAUCUGAGUUAUCACUCCAGUAGUCUUUACUCACCAGUAGAGGAGAGACCCUCACUUCUGUUUGUUAUCAUCAAACACAGAUACGCAUUGCGCGGACUGAAAUAUUUC